UGGGGCAUAGCCAAGUGGUAAGGCAGCGGGUUUUGAUCCCGCGAUUCCCAGGUUCGAAUCCUGGUGCCCCAGCCA
Molecule: transfer RNA, 75 nt
Filed under: Idiomarina fontislapidosi
Lineage: Bacteria; Pseudomonadati; Pseudomonadota; Gammaproteobacteria; Alteromonadales; Idiomarinaceae
Also listed under: 3 other names
Description: tRNA-Gln
Rfam family: tRNA
About the family: Transfer RNA (tRNA) molecules are approximately 80 nucleotides in length.
Source: RNAcentral